Long non-coding RNA from Tigriopus californicus, 3113 nucleotides. RefSeq lists it as uncharacterized. The transcript is spliced from 3 exons. Lineage: Eukaryota; Metazoa; Arthropoda; Copepoda; Harpacticoida; Harpacticidae. The record is from RefSeq and is a predicted model, not a curated record.
UCGUGCAACUCGUGUUAGUCGCAGAAGUAAGCCAGUUCCAUAGACUGGGGGGAGGAUCGCUCGUUCGUACGCCUCCACGGCCAGUCGACACACAAUUAGGGUGAAUCUGAGCCUUCGGUCUCUACGACUUGCACACGUACCGUACUUCUAUAGUUGAGUUCAACUCCAUUCACUAGUGUUCCCCGUAUGUACCCAGACCUCGACCAUACCACUUCAGGAAAGUGCUCCGCCUACUAAGAUCGCCGUUCAUGUAAACAGCAGAAGGUUCGUCAAUGCUCUAACACCAUUACAGCAUACUCCAUCCAUCCAAACAGCCAGUCCGAGUGAAGGAGUUCUAGCGCUGUGACUGGCACAUAACCCUCUAUGCUCACUCAUGCCCACUUAUUACUUUCUUACAACAGCACGUACACACUGCGGUAUACAAGGCUUGACAAGCCUUAACAGGGCUCAAGUCAUGUGCAGUACUUUUCCUCUUUGUUGUUCAUGACCCACGCAAGCGUGGAUCGACUACACAAGGUCUUUUUUUGCGGGCUGGAACGCUCGACUCGGAGCUUCGAUCACCCAUCAGAUUAAUGACUUGACAGCGAGUUCCAGAAGAUACAUUCCAGGCGUCUGAAUUUCAAAAUUCGGAUCAUGUCACAUGCUCGAGAUUCUCGGGCAUGCUCAAGACUGAUGUUUAUCACAAAAAUCUGUCACAUUCGAGAUUCAUUCUUUUUCCAUUAGUACUCCUUGCACUCCAACAUAUUCCCAAGGUACACCUGGGUCUCUUCGUCACGUCACAUGUCUUCUUUGAGGGAUUGGCCUCUGGCUAACGAGCCUUGAGGCAGUGUCAAAAAUUGCCGUUUUUGCGUUUCUUCAAAUUUUGGGCCUAAAGUGUGGAGCAAAACGAAGAUCCACUGAGCGGAACCCAAAAAUUAUGUCAAGAGACGACAAUCCUCUGAUCCACGAACGGAGCUAACCAUCUUUGUCAAUGUAGGAAGACCAAGGAAUUGAAAGUACGAAUGUACAUUAGCAACUUUAGUAACUUCCAUGCUUCAUUGCGGUCAGGAAGGGGGAAGGAAACUUGUACAACACAACGCUCCACUCCAACUGGGAUGAUUCGUUCGGAUUCCGAUUGGUGUCUUGAAGAAGUGACGUUAUUAACACGGAAAAGUACCUUUCUCAAGUACCAGACUAUGUAGGGGAGCGCGUCGAAAAUUGCUUUUUGUAUUUGUGCUGUCGUCGACAACUAGCCAAAAAGGAAGAUCCAAAGGUCUUUGAAGUCUUUUGUUUGCGAGGGCGAAGCGAUCAAGCGCCAACAAAGUGUCACAAAUGCAAGCUCUAGCAAUCACACACAAUGAAGAUAAACAUGGGCAAGCAAAAGGACGACCACCAUUUCGUGAAGAAUUCUCCCCUGCAAUACCGCAACCACCUAGUCUGACAAUGGUGAGGUGAAUUGAUCCUCUGAUGUGUUUCGUUUGGAAAAGCUUUUUGUGGCACAUUCAAGUGAGGUGCUCUUCAAUUUGCACUAUCAUUUGAAAAGCCUCCAAGAAUCUUCGCCACCGAGACGGCUCAAACACAAACACGUUGGAUCAAGAAUGUCCUGACUGAGCCGAUGCAUCAAUGUCAUUUUCCGAGGUGCCAAAUUGGCUCAAGCACUAAUGAUUGAAGGAUCUUGCUACACUCCUCCGUCGUCCCUGUGUUCAUUGUGCUCUACUAUGAGAUGCACAAGAAUUUUCUUGUCGUACUUUGGAAUCCUAGAGAAACAUCAUCCUUUCAGAUAAAAUAGGCCACUUCAACCUUCUCCACCGCACAAGUGUCUUCAUGUCGAAAAUGAUGUUUGAAGAUGUUGGACCUGGGACCCUCUUUCACUUGUCCAUAAUGAGUCUAGCAAGGCCAUUGGUUGUUCACAAUGGUAUAUGAUGUGAAUACAGUGGAAUGUUCAUCCAAACUCCGAACGGGAAAGAACGAGAGAGAGAAGAUGCAAGCAAGCAAGCAAGAGAGAAGGUUUGUUCACCAGCUAGUCACUCACUCACUCACUCACCCACUUACUCACUCGCCUACUCUCUGAAGACUGACUGUGUGCUAAUAUAUCCAGUCUAUCUUUUUUUUGUGGUACGUAAGUCAGAUUGGUUGUUCGCCCCAUUAGCACACAAAGGGGCCCCGGUGGAACCAGUCCACGAGAACGAGACGAUCUCGCCUCGGACCCAAAUCUGUUGACGCGUGGAAAGAAGGCCAACUGAGGUUAGGAGGAUGAUACGUUGCACGACUUCGUGGGAGAAGAACGACUGCGACGAUGUCUCUGCCUGAGCUUCGAAGACCCACAAGAUGGAUCUAAUGGUGAAAGGACUCAGAACCAACCGCUCUUCGGACGGUGGAACGAAGGCGCCGGCUCUUACGCAAAGCCCUCAUUCACACGGACUACGUACGUUCAUCCAUAUUGGUAUUCGUACUUGGAGGAUCCACCCGAGAAAAGAGGAGGAAAGGCAACCACGGGCCAGGCUUCGCCGAUAUCGCUCAAGAUGAAAAGGGAGAACGUCCUGCCAAUGUUCCUAUCAAACAAUUGCUUGAUACCGGGUUUCGCUAGUUCCCGGAUUUUGCGUUUUUUCGCACUCCCAGAAUUGAGUUGGACGGGUCCUCAAAUUUCUGGCCCAGUGAUUAACCAUAGAUGUGCCUUGUUCGAGGCAAAUUUAGGUCCGUUCAACUAUAUAAAAGUGUGUAUAUAUAUGCAAAAAAAGCGAUUUCGGAUCGGUACGAACAUAUAAAGAAUGCAUUUGUUUGUAACCACCUUUGUAACUUAUUCGAAAAAUCCUGAAACUGAUAGAGCUUUCCAAAUAAUGGUAAGUAAUCAUAUUUGAACUCAGAGUAACAAUGUGAUGGAGAUAUUGCAAUCACAAAUACGUUGUCAAUCUCUUGAUCAGUUUUGGCCCACAAGCUUUGGUAUCACUCGCAGCUUUAGUAUGUCGAUUUCCUUUCUAUCCAUUAUUUUUGCUUUUUUCUGUUGAUAUGAUCUUUAUGAAUUUAUUUUCACGAUCUUUAUGGAUCUAUUUCCAUUAUCUUUUAGUUUAUUUAUGUGGUAAACUACUUUAAUUUUUUUUCCAAUUGAAUACAUUGUAUCACCAAGAAGACUACAA